Molecule: ribosomal RNA, 452 nt
Filed under: uncultured bacterium
Lineage: Bacteria
Description: bacterial SSU rRNA
Rfam family: Bacterial small subunit ribosomal RNA
Source: RNAcentral
UUCGCAAUGCCCGAAAGGGUGACGAAGCGACGCCGCGUGUGGGAAGAAGGCCUUCGGGUUGUAAACCACUGUCGGGAGUUAGGAAAUGUAAGGGUGUUAAUAGCAUUCUUACUUGACGUUAGCUCCGGAGGAAGCCACGGCUAACUCUGUGCCAGCAGCCGCGGUAAUACAGAGGUGGCAAGCAUUGUUCGGAAUUAUUGGGCGUAAAGAGCACGUAGGCGGCCCUGCAAGUCAGCUGUGAAAUCCUUCUGCUCAACGGAAGAACGGCAGUUGAUACUACAGGGCUCGAGUGCGGGAGAGGAGAGUGGAACUUCUGGUGGGGCGGUGAAAUGCGUAGAUAUCAGAAGGAACAUCGGCGGCGAAAGCGACUCUCUGGCCCGUAACUGACGCUGAGGUGCGAAAGCUAGGGGAGCAAACGGGAUUAGAUACCCCGGUAGUCCUAGCCGUAAACG